RNAcentral lists this non-coding RNA (340 nucleotides) under Veronia pacifica. The record is from RNAcentral. Lineage: Bacteria; Pseudomonadati; Pseudomonadota; Gammaproteobacteria; Vibrionales; Vibrionaceae.
GUUAUCCGAAACAAAAUUUGAUUCAGGAUGAAACAAAGAUUGGUAUCGGAAACAUGGAUUGGAUGGAACCGUUGCAGUAGAUAGGAUAUUUACUGGUCAGGAUGACAAAUGGAAACGCCCGGGAAGGGUAGCAUGGACACCCUCAGGAUGAGGAUGAGAAUCGAGGCAGGACGGCUCGAUGGAUCAGGAAGAUCAAACGGACACCUCCAGGACGGAGAGUUAAGGACAGUGCCGAAGGAUACGGCGACUAAUCAAGGAUGGUGCAGGGAGCACAUUCAGUAGCAGGAUAGCUGCAAGUAAGACCUCAGGGCGCGACGUAUGUCGCGCCCGCUCUAUCUUA